This 482-nucleotide ribosomal RNA is filed under the name uncultured bacterium. RNAcentral's name for it is "bacterial SSU rRNA". It matches the Rfam family "Bacterial small subunit ribosomal RNA", at positions 8 to 507 of the family's 1533-position model. The record is from RNAcentral.
AGAGUUUGAUCAUGGCUCAGGACGAACGCUGGCGGCGUGCUUAACACAUGCAAGCCGAACGGUAAGGCCCUUCGGGGUACACGAGUGGCGAACGGGUGAGUAACACGUGGGUGAUCUGCCCUGCACUUCGGGAUAAGCCUGGGAAACUGGGUCUAAUACCGGAUAGGACUCCUGGCUUCAUGGUUGGGGGUGUAAAGCUUUUGCGGUGUGGGAUGGGCCCGCGGCCUAUCAGCUUGUUGGUGGGGUAAUGGCCUACCAAGGCGACGACGGGUAGCCGGCCUGAGAGGGUGACCGGCCACACUGGGACUGAGAUACGGCCCAGACUCCUACGGGAGGCAGCAGUGGGGAAUAUUGCACAAUGGGCGCAAGCCUGAUGCAGCGACGCCGCGUGAGGGAUGACGGCCUUCGGGUUGUAAACCUCUUUCAAUAGGGACGAAGCGCAAGUGACGGUACCUAUAGAAGAAGGACCGGCCAACUACGUG